Non-coding RNA from Coturnix japonica (Japanese quail), 2154 nucleotides. NCBI's taxonomy places the organism in Eukaryota, Metazoa, Chordata, Aves, Galliformes, Phasianidae. The record is from RefSeq and is a predicted model, not a curated record.
CAGAAGCAUCUCUUCUUUUCCUCCUAUCACCAAUAUUUUGAAUUUGACUCCAUUAACGGUCAUAGUUUUAAUGCCCAGAAUUACAUUGGACUAGCACUGUACUUAGAUCAGAACAAAUACAAAAAUCAACACUCCACAAAACUCAUCAGAAGCAUUUACAUGCAUAUUUUCCCUCUCAGUUUCCAAAAACAGUACAACCCUGCUAUGGUUUCUUCACUUUCUUGUCCAACCCCUGGAAAUGAUUUUUCCUUCACGUGUUGUAGAAAUAUUCCAAGCGUUGAAAUUUUCCCAUCAUCACAGUCUCACACUGCAGUAAAACCACUUUUUGUUAGGAUUUACAGAUAAAACUGCACCUGCUAAAGUAACCUGAUGACCUGCAGAUCUGUUACACAACUAAUACUUUUGAUUUUUAUUGUAGAAAUCAGUGAAGUGCAUCAAUAUCCUAUGGCAUAUUGUCUAACAUUGUUUUCAGCAUGCAAAUCUUUUAAGCCAGAAAUCAGACUUUUGGUUAUAAAUCAAAAGGAAAAUAUAGUAUAUAUAUAUGUUAACCAGCAUGAAGAACUAGAAAGGAAUCAAUAAGGAGAAGAUAAAUGGAUAUCAGAAGGAUUUCUUGUUUAAACUUUGCUUCCUAAGAACUUUGGGAGAUGAUGGUGCUCCAGACAAAGAUAGACAAAAAGUCUAUUGAAGGUUGAAGGAAAAAACUUUCUUAGGGCAAAAAGACAGGAUAAGCAGACGGUCCACAUGCUUAGGAUGUUCAAAGCAGGUGGGUAUAUUAGGGGCUGAGCAAGAAUUUCUACUUGAACACCUCUUCUUACACCACACAAAGUGGUCUCAUAUGCACUGGCAUAUUUUUAUAACAUGGAUGGCAGAAGGCAGCAGCCCCAUCCCAGGCAGCACCAGCCCUGCUACAUCAUGGCCACAUCACCAAGGGCAGCCACCAGGUCCAGGAAUCACCCUGUAGCAGUCCAAGCCAGGUCACAAGAGCUCAGCAAUAUUACUGGCUGUGUUCCAGAAUGAACUUGAUGUCAUGGCAACCUGGAACACAGACCAGAAGGGGAGUGUCAACAAGAGACAACUAACCAGCCACACACAGGGAGAGAGACACAGCAUAACAGGGAAAGAGCAGGAUAUCGAGACACUCCUGUCCUCGACAGCAUUCAUCUCUUGACAAGAGGGCCGCACACUGCAGGACAGGCGUUGCCCUGGUUUGCUGAGCCCUGGUCCCAACGAAGGAGCUGAAAAGGAACCUAAUGAGUGCCAUGAAAAAACACAGACACAGAAAUGGAUGGCAUAACAGCUACCCGGUGAGCACAGUAACACAGGGGAGGGAAGCACAGGGAAGCAGGGCAUGUGGUCUCCAUGCUUCCAUCAAAAACAGAUACGUCAGACACAAAAACUAUUCUUUCCAGAUCCUCAGAGACCCUGUAAACUUUCCGAGAUUUCUCUGUUUCAAAUCCCAAUAUUUUGUACUACCUUGUUGUGCCCUGUCCCCACUGCAGGUGCUAACAGCAAACCUAAUGGUUGCAUUGGUACUUUAAUCACAAGAUUGUGGUAAUGACCUCAGAUGAGCAGCCUGGUGAGCAGCACCAUGCUGGGGAUGGGCAGCACAGGGUAGCAAGGCACGUGGCUGCUCCUAAACUCCUUCUCAUCUGCCUUGCAGAUGGGCACCUCCGCAACGAUGGAGCCAGAGCAGGACCCACACCAACUCUCAGUCCUCUAAGUGGUCUCCAUGCUUACAUCCAAAACAGAUAAGUCAGACACAAAAACUAUUCUAGAUUCUAUGUGAUCCUCAAAACUUUCCAAGAUUCCACUGUUUCAAAUCCCAGCAUUUUGUACUACCUUGUUGUGUCCUGUCCCCACUGCAGGUCCUACCACAAAACCUAAUGGUUGCUAUGGCACUUUCAAGACAAGGAUGUGGUAAUGACUUCAGAUAAGCAGCCAGGUAAGCAGCUCCAUGCUGGGGAAGGGCGGCACAGGAAAGCAGGGCUCGUGGCUGAUUCUAGACUCCUUCCCAUCUGCCUUGCAGAUGGGCAUCUCCGCAAGGAUGGAGCCAGAGCAGGACCCACAGCUACUCUCAACCUUUUAAAUAGUCUCCAUGCUCCCAUCCAAAAAAGAUAAGUCAGACCCAAACACUAUCCUCUCUAGAUCCUAAAG